This 2284-nucleotide long non-coding RNA is filed under the name Gossypium barbadense (sea-island cotton). RNAcentral describes it as "long non-coding RNA (GBAR_LNC021948)". The record is from RNAcentral. Lineage: Eukaryota; Viridiplantae; Streptophyta; Magnoliopsida; Malvales; Malvaceae.
AAAAAACAGGAAGCCAUUGUUGAAGCUUCAUUCAGCUAAUCUUAUUCCUUCAAAUUAGGUAUACAUUUUUGUCUCGGUUUUUUUUUAUGAUUUUUACGUUUUCGGGAUCGUUGUAGAUUAAUUCAGUUAGCCUGUACAUUUGAUUUUAAAACUGUUAAAGAUUUUAAAUGUUGAUAUUGAUGAGUCUUAUGAUUCUUUUUUAUGUUAAAUGAUGAAUUUGAGAUAUUAAUUGUUAUUUAAAAGUAUUUUAUUAAGUGAUUUUUGAUGAAUUUUUUGAUUAGGGGUUAAAUUGUUGAAAUAAUAAAAAUACAAGGGUUUGUUGUGAAAUUUUUACAAAUUAGGCUGUAUUGAAUGCCAUGAAUAUUCAACUAGCAUGGGUUUGCAUUAAAAAUGGUUAAUUUGCAUGUUUUGGGCUUAGGGACUAAAUUGAAUAAAAGUAAAAUUUUAGGGGUAAUUUUGUAAAAAUAUAAAAUAUUAAAUUUCAUAAAAUAAAUUAUUUUAUUGUUUAAAUUAAUAAAUUGAAUGAAAUUAUUAAUUUAAAUCAAGAUUGGGUGAAAAAUCGAGGAAAAUAUAAAAUUAUCAAAAUGCUCCUAAAUCUUGGUAUUUUUGCAAUUUAGCCAGGUAAGUUCAUACAGUUAAAUUUAACAUUUGUAUUAAUUGGUGAUUGGUAUUAUAUAUAUUCUAUUGUUGGAAAUGAAUUAUUGUUUGAAUUAUAGUAUUGAAUUGGAUAUUCGGUUUGAAUUGAACGCGAGAUUUAAGUACAUUUGUAUUUUGGUGUAUGACGGGGGUUUGGAGUGGAGAUUUAGAGGGAGAUAUCGGUAUAUUACCCAAGUAAACUGGGGUUCAGCAUUUGUUGCGAACUCUCGUGUUUUACUUUCUGUUUGGAGUGAUUUUGGUGGAUUAGCUCUUACAAGCUUCUAUUCAGCUUUCACGAGCUUCUGUUGGCGUGUUCUGGUGGAUUAGCUCUAUGAACUUCUGUUGAUGAUGUACUCUUAUCCAUAAGUCGUUCUUUGAAUCGAAAAUCUCGAUAAGGUAAUCUGUUUAAUGAAUUUUGAAAGAUUUAUUAUUUGUUGAAUAUUGAUCUGAACAUAAAUGAAUUCAAUAGUUUAGAUUGUGGAUGAUGCAUAGGUUUAUGCUAAGCUUAUAGUUACAUUAUCUCAUGUUUAAUAUUAAUGAUAUACAAUGAAAUGAUAAAUGAAAAAAAUGGGAAUAUGCUUAUAUUCAUGAAAAGCUGGUAUGAAUCAAAAGGUGAAUUUUUUAUAAAAUGGUUUAUCAUGCGAUUGACUCCAAAUGAGUUGUAUACUUAAAUGCACUAACUUGUGUAUUGAUGAUGGUGAUUAGGCUUAUGUCAAGCUUGAGAUCAUGAUUGAUGUUUAUGCUUAUAUCUGGUAUUAUAUAAAUGAAACGGCUAAGAAAAAGUAAUGAAACGGUAAGUUCAUUAUUGAAAUGUGAUAUGACGAAAAAGGGAUUGAUGAAUUGAGUGAUGUACUUAUAUAUGAGAAAUUACGUAUGUUAUGGAUGAACUUACCUAUGAUGUGAAUAAAUAUACUAAUCAGUGAGUUGAUGUUGUUAUUUAAGUUUAUGCUUACUAAGUGGAAUGGAAAGUAAGUAAAUGAAGUAAUUCAUAGUUCUUUGAAAAGGUUAAUGAUAGUGUAUAAUGUUUAUAAAAUCCUAUUAAGUUAGGAAUGAAAAAUAUAUAUUUAUGAUGUUGAUAGACUUAUUCAUUUAUAAGUUGAUGGUUAUGUAGUUGACAAAUCUUGAGGCAUUGGUAUAGGUUUAUAUUUAAUCUAUAAAGUUCAUUGAUGAAAUGGAAUGUUAUGUUUAAAGUUUAUACAAGCUUACUAAGCAUUCAUUGCUUACACAUUUGUUUUUCCUUUACUUUUCAGAUUAUCGGAAGCUCGAUCGGGUUGGAAACUUGUCGGAGCUAUAUCACACUAUCCAUCAGUUUUAUCGGUACUUUUGGAUGUUUUGAUUUUAGUUAUAAUGGCAUGUAUAGGUAUUUUGUUUAAUGUUGGCCUAUAUGUAAUUUGUUGAGAUAGUCACUUAUUUUGGCUUGUUUUGGAUGCCUAAUUAUGGCUUGUUGAUAUGCAUAAUGUUGAUUGUAGGUUGACACCAAAUUGGGUGAGAAAUAUGACUUGUAAAUUGACCUAUUUUAGUCCACACGGGCAGAGACACGGGCGUGUGUUUCAGCCAUGUGUGACACAUGACCAGAUGACACGGUUGUGUGUCCCCUAUAUCUUUUAAAGAGUGUAAGUCUGUAUAUUCACACGGCCUGACCACCGAC